CCUGGAACUCACUAUGUAGGCCAGGCUGGCGUUGAACUCACAGAGAUCCGCCUGCCUCUGACUCCCAAGUGUUGGGAU
This 78-nucleotide microRNA precursor is filed under the name Nannospalax galili (Upper Galilee mountains blind mole rat). RNAcentral's name for it is "miRNA (ENSNGAG00000007452.1)". Lineage: Eukaryota; Metazoa; Chordata; Mammalia; Rodentia; Spalacidae. The record is from RNAcentral.